UGGGGAAUUUUGGACAAUGGGGGCAACCCUGAUCCAGCCAUCCCGCGUGUGCGAUGAAGGCCUUCGGGUUGUAAAGCACUUUGGCAGGGAAGAAACAGCCUGGGAUAAUACCCCGGGCGACCGACGGUACCUGCAGAAUAAGCACCGGCUAACUACGUGCCAGCAGCCGCGGUAAUACGUAGGGUGCAAGCGUUAAUCGGAAUUACUGGGCGUAAAGCGUGCGCAGGCGGUUCGGAAAGAAAGGUGUGAAAUCCCAGGGCUUAACCUUGGAACUGCACUUUUAACUACCGAGCUAGAGUACGUCAGAGGGGGGUAGAAUUCCACGUGUAGCAGUGAAAUGCGUAGAGAUGUGGAGGAAUACCGAUGGCGAAGGCAGCCCCCUGGGAUGAUACUGACGCUCAUGCACGAAAGCGUGGGGAGCAAACAGGAUUAGAUACCCUGGUAGUCCACGCCCU
Molecule: ribosomal RNA, 455 nt
Filed under: uncultured bacterium
Lineage: Bacteria
Description: partial 16S ribosomal RNA
Rfam family: Bacterial small subunit ribosomal RNA
Source: RNAcentral